Rattus norvegicus (Norway rat) is the source of this 103-nucleotide small nuclear RNA. The record is from Ensembl. Lineage: Eukaryota; Metazoa; Chordata; Mammalia; Rodentia; Muridae.
UUGCUUCAGCAGCAUAUAUUCUAAAAUUGGAAUGAUACAGAGAAGAUGAUCGUGGCCCCUUUGCAAGGAGGGCACCCAAACUCAUGAAGCAUUCCAUAGGAGC